UCUUCUUCACUCUACUCUCUCAUAGUCUCAUUUUUGUUCAGUUUGUUUCAAUUUUUUUGGUUUCUUUCUGCCUAUCACUUCUGAAUUCUUCUGAAAGUUUGUCCAUUUUUCCUUCAAUUUUGGUUUUUCAACUUUUUUGUAUAGUUUUUCGCCAGAUCUUUUAUAUACAAGUCUGUAAGUCUAUCUGAUUCGCAGUGACGGAGCCAGGAUCUCUACGAAGGGGUUCAAAAAAAAAUUUUGUGGCUAGUGAGAAUUGAACCUAUAACCUUAUAAAAGUUUUGAACCUCUUGACCACUAAACUACACUUCAAGGUUGUGUCAAGGUGUUCAAAACUUAAUAUAUAGAGAUAAAAACCAGAUUUUGCCUUAUAUGCAUAGUGAAAUUUUUCGAAGGGGGUUCGAUUGACCCCUUGCGCCCCCUAAAUCCGCCCCUGCUGAUCCGCACAUGCAUGGUUGAAAAUAGUUGACUGGUGCAUGUAACUGUAUUAUUUUGGAUUACUGAUUAUCGAUGUCUGUUUUACUUUUGCUUCUAAUAAAUUAUUGAAAAUCAAGUAUAUGAAAAUCUGUAAUUUUGAACUUGCUGUUGAAAGAUUGGGUCUUUACAAAAAAAAUUAGUUAUUGACAGUAUCGCUUAUAUUUAUAGACAUACUUUCAUGGUGUUAUUUUUUUUGUAAUUAUUAUAUACUACAGUUUGAGAAAAUUUCCAUUUUAAUUGUUUUUUCUCUUCUUCUACUUUAUUCUUUUUUUUCAUUCUACACAAUGUGAUGGCAUUCUAAACUAUAAAGACCAAUGAACCAAAGCUGUUCGGUGAUAUGCCUGAAACAACUUAACUAUUUGACUUGGAAAGAAUGUAAACUAUACUACAAGCUGCAGACAUGCUUUCGCAUGUAAGGUAAUACCCUCAUUCUUACCUUCUUUGUUUCCAAAAGCCAUAUUCUAUCUUACUUAUUCAAUAAAUCAUGUAGCAAAAAAAGGAUGUAGGCUUAGAGAGUUGCAUUAUGGAAUGCUAUAUGUGAUUGUUUUUUCUCUGAAAUUCAUAUGAUGUGCUUUAUAGUCCAACAAAGCAAGUAAAAUUUUAUUGUAUAAGUGAAGAUCUGCGAAAUUGGAUGUAGCUAUGUACAACAUAGAGGCUAGGUGUGCUACCUCUUAGGACUUUGUAUUCUCAAGUGGCCAUUACUCUUUCAAGAUAAAGCAUCCAUACAUGGUAAGAUUUGAAGUUUUAAAGUUUGAUUGCUUUAACAGCUUACUGCCAUGUUUAUUAAUGAGAUAAAUUGGUAAUUGGUUAUGCUGUAUACUGCAAAAGGACUCUGGGACAUUAGAAUUGGUGUAAAUUAAAAAAUGGAAUGGUUGUUGCUCAGUAUUGACUUAAAGCCUUAAGUUUGUUCUCGAUAUGAGCCUACAGAAUGCUGCCAGAUAACAAAGUAGCACAUUUGGAGUGCCGAAAAUUGUUUCCAUUGCUUUUGUGGAUUUGCUUAUUCUUGGCAAAUUUCACCUAGCUAUCAAUAAAAGCAUCUGUACAGGAAGAAUUAAUAGUUUUUUCUAUUAAGACAAGCGUUAAUUUCCUUUGGAUAACUGAUAAUGUUUAAGAACUUACGAAGAAUUGGCAUAUCCCUUUGGUUUAUUAGAGGGCCAAAACAUAGCAUUUUUUCUAAGAUCUUAAAUUAGUUGAUGGAUGAACAAAGGUCUUUCUGGCUCAUGUCUGUUGAAUAUGCUUGAUACAGCUGAUAUGAAAUAUGAUAAUUUGGCUCCAAGUUGAUCAUUUUAGAGGUAACUUAUAGACCAUAUUUUCUUAUCUUAAUACUUUCCGCAUGACUUCACGCAAUGUUAAAUUAGCUGUCAUAUUUUUAUUGGUGUGAAAGUGUUUCUUUAUUUUUUGAGAAAUAAUGUUGAUGUUAAACAAAUUUAGAAGUGAACAACAACCUAUAAACGGGGCUACUCACUGAGGCAUCUCUAUACUGAAAUAGCAAGAAGAUUAUAAUUUUUGCAUAAGAUGACUAAGCCUCCUAUAUAUAAUGGGGUUCUCAAUUUUGCUGUUAUACUCCUCAUAGAGAACUAUGAAUCCAACAUGGUUGGGUUGUUCACAAAAAAGUGUGACACUGAUACUCUAUAUAAUUUUUUUAAUGCAUCAUCUGGUCUGUUGAUUUUAUAUCUUGAAAUUCUUUUACGCCUAAAAUAAUCAAGAAGCUGGAGAUUUCAUCUUUAUGCAAGAACUCGAAGGCAAGGUUCUUUUGCAUCUGCUUGAUGCCCUUAAUGAAUUUUAUUACUUCAAAAAAAUAAAAAAGGACUUCAAACAAGGAAAUAUAUUUUGGAUGAACUCGACAACACUGUCAGAAAAUAUCAAAUAUGUAUAAUACCAAUUUCAGUUUCCUCCAUUCUAUGUUUUAGCUCAGAUCUUUUUCUGAUAUGAAACAUACUUGCAUAUAGCUUCGGGGUUUUGAAAUGUGAUGCACAAUUCAUAUUGAGUCAAAAUCUCUAUGACAUUGCGAGAGAUUUGAUCAUGCCUGCGCUCAAACUGGCAUAGCUGCUUGACCAUUAUAAGGUAUUUUAAGUCAAAAAUAUUUCCUUUUUUGGUAACAAUGAUUGUUAUACUUUCUGUCUUUACUAUUUAAUAGCAUCUACUAUCUUAUAAUUUUCAAGUCAAAGAGGUAAGAACCAAAUCGGAAGGACACCUUUAAAAAGUUAGCUUUCUGUACUAGAACUUGUGAGAUUGACAAAGAGAACAUUGGUUUUGAGAAUUUAUUGAUGGGGUAAGUGAUAGAGAAGAAAAAUUAGAAGGAAGAUAAUGAUUUUUCUACAACUGAGUGCUCUUCUGUGGAAGAAGGUGAACACACUGCCAUUAUUUUAUCUCAUUAUUAUAGAAGCAUUGUCACACUGAUAAUGUAUAAAAGUAAUUACAAUUAACAUGUGUGUUCACUGAACUUAGACUGACAUUUUCUAUUACUCUUCUAUAAGCCGAGUUACUGAGUAUUAUAUUUCAUGGUUUAGCAACUGUUGUAUUAGGACUUGGUUGACAUGUUUCAUAAAUUGCUAAUAAAAUAUAUUGGACGUUUUCUUGGAUGAUUUUCUAACUCUCCAUCCCCUUCAAAACACUAUGAUGUAUAUACACAGGGGUGGAUUAGGGGGGCGAAAGGAUGUUCACCCGAAUCCCCUUCGUCGAAAAAUUACAUUGUAUAUAUGAGUCAAAAUCUAUUUUUUACCUCUAUAUAUUAUGUUUUGAAUCCUCUUGCCCAAAAGUGUAUAGCUUAGUGAUCAAGGGGGUUCAAAACCUUUGUAAGGUCAUUGGUUCCAUUCCCACUAGCUACAACCAUUUUAACUUUUUUCUUUUUUGAACUCCUUUAGCAUUAAUCCUGCCACCGCCACUGCCACUGUAUAUACAUUGAUGGGUAUAUUUCUAAACCUUCCUUUGUCUCUCUUUAAAGGGUACAACAUAUUGGUCCAUUAGUCGUACGAGGGACUACAGAUAAAUCUAUGAAACAGAGAUUUAUAGAUAAAUUGUGAUUACGGCUCUGAAAUUAAAGUGUGAUCCUCUGCUUAUCCACGUUACCAAGAGAAAUGUUUUCCAUUUAUGGCUUAUUUGUUGCAUUUUAGUAUUCAAUAAUUUUGUAUCAAUGCUUCCAUGUUAAUGUACUCUACAUGUUUCAUGAAUUUAAAGCUUAAUUUUGAUGGGUAGAGCCUUUUUGACGAAACCUUUUCCUUCAGAAUACUAACUAGAAGUUCAAUUUGUGUAGAACCACUCCAUCCUAAUAUUUGUUGGUGAAGAUGACAUAUUUAUGAACGUGUAUUUGCAUGAAACAAACAAAGAAUUAUAACUAUGCAAGUUUUCUUAAGUUCAUUAUUGCAACUAUCAAUAUGUUGCUGACACUCCUUUCUGCCAUUGACUUUCUCCGAAUUGGUGCUUCCAGUACUAAAAAAAUAGUGCUAGUAAUUUUUGCUAUAUUUUAGAGUAGCUCUUCUUUCGAUUAAACAUGGAACAAAUAUGGAUGCUGAGGACAAGCAAGGGUGCAGUUGAACAAGCUUCGGAUGAGCCCAACAUCAAAUCUAAGACGACGUUUUGGAUGUAAAACCAUCUGGUGUCAUUAGCCACUCAAUAUAUUCAAGGCAACUUAUGUAAAUGGUUGCUGUGAGGUGUGCUCAAAUUUGUGAUAUUGGCUGCUCCUGGUGCUUGUUAAGUUAGUACUUGGUAAUUUGUGUUUUUUAGACUGAUAGGUUGGUUAGUGUUGGACUUAUCUUUGAGAUAAGUGCUAUAAUUUUUCUUUAUGAAGAAGAGUUAAUUAGCUCUUUAGCUUCCAAAUUCAGCUUAGAGUGUGGAUUGGAGUAUUGAUCGAGCAAUUUGAUCAAAACAUUCUUUGAUGGUAUAUUGGUAUAUCUGCAAAGAUGAUCCUUAUUUCCUUUAUA
This is a long non-coding RNA of Nicotiana attenuata, 4394 nucleotides long. RefSeq lists it as uncharacterized. NCBI's taxonomy places the organism in Eukaryota, Viridiplantae, Streptophyta, Magnoliopsida, Solanales, Solanaceae. The record is from RefSeq and is a predicted model, not a curated record. The transcript is spliced from 2 exons.